RNAcentral lists this ribosomal RNA (253 nucleotides) under uncultured bacterium. RNAcentral describes it as "partial 16S ribosomal RNA". It matches the Rfam family "Bacterial small subunit ribosomal RNA", at positions 524 to 776 of the family's 1533-position model. The record is from RNAcentral.
UACGGGGGGGGCAAGCGUUGUCCGGAAUCAUUGGGCGUAAAGCGCGCGUAGGUGGCCUCAUAAGUCCGCUGUGAAAGUCAAAGGCUCAACCUUUGAAAGCCGGUGGAUACUGUGGGGCUAGAGUACGGAAGAGGCGAGUGGAAUUCCUGGUGUAGCGGUGGAAUGCGCAGAUAUCAGGAGGAACACCAAUAGCGAAGGCAGCUCGCUGGGACGUUACUGACACUGAGGCGCGAAAGCGUGGGGAGCGAACAGG